CCUACGGGGUGCAGCAGUGAGGAAUAUUGGUCAAUGGGCGGGAGCCUGAACCAGCCAAGUCGCGUGAGGGAAGACGGUCCUAUGGAUUGUAAACCUCUUUAGGCGGGGAGCAAUGCCGGGCACGCGUGCCUGGAGGGAGAGUACCCGCAGAAUAAGCAUCGGCUAACUCCGUGCCAGCAGCCGCGGUAAUACGGAGGAUGCGAGCGUUAUCCGGAUUUAUUGGGUUUAAAGGGUGCGUAGGCGGAUUUUUAAGUCAGCGGUAAAAUGUCCGGGCUCAACCCGGGCCGGCCAUUGAAACUGGGGGUCUUGAGUGGGCGAGAGGUAUGCGGAAUGCGUGGUGGAGCGGUGAAAUGCGUAGAUAUCACGCAGAACUCCGAUUGCGAAGGCAGCAUACCGGCGCCCGACUGACGCUGAGGCACGAAAGCGUGGGGAUCGAACAGGAUCAGAUACCCUAGUAGUC
RNAcentral lists this ribosomal RNA (460 nucleotides) under uncultured bacterium. RNAcentral describes it as "partial 16S ribosomal RNA". It matches the Rfam family "Bacterial small subunit ribosomal RNA", at positions 338 to 795 of the family's 1533-position model. The record is from RNAcentral.